GGGUGCGAUCAUACUAGCACUAAUGCACCGGAUCCCAUUCAAACGCCGCAGUUAAACGUGCUUGGCCGAUAGUAGUACUAGGAUAGGUGACCUCCUGGGAAGUCCUCGUGGUGCACUCC
RNAcentral lists this ribosomal RNA (119 nucleotides) under Gossypium raimondii (Peruvian cotton). Lineage: Eukaryota; Viridiplantae; Streptophyta; Magnoliopsida; Malvales; Malvaceae. The record is from RNAcentral.